GACGAACGCUGGCGGUGUGCUUAACACAUGCAAGUCGAACGGAAAGGCCCUUCGGGGUACCCGUGUGGCGAACGGGUGAGUAACACGUGGGUGAUUUGCCCUGCACCUUGUGAUAAGCCUGGGAUACUGGGUCUAAUACCGAAUAGGUCCACGCGCCUCCUGGUGUGUGGUGGCAAGCUUUUGCGGUGUGGGAUGGGCUCGCGUCCUAUCAGCUUGUUGGUGGUGUAAUGGCCUACGAAGGCGACGACGGGUAGCCGGCCUUAGAGGGUGGCCGGCCACACUGGGACUGAGGUACGGCGCAGACUCCUACGGGAGGCAGCAGUGGGGAAUAUUGCACAAUGGGCGCAAGCCUGAUGCGGCGACGCCGCGUGAGGGAUGACGGCCUUCGGGUUGUAAACCUCUUUCGAUAGGGACGAAGCGCAAGUGACGGUACCUAAAGAAGAAGCACCGGCCAACUACGUG
This 462-nucleotide ribosomal RNA is filed under the name uncultured bacterium. RNAcentral describes it as "partial 16S ribosomal RNA". It matches the Rfam family "Bacterial small subunit ribosomal RNA", at positions 28 to 507 of the family's 1533-position model. The record is from RNAcentral.